This 300-nucleotide unclassified non-coding RNA is filed under the name uncultured fungus. RNAcentral describes it as "sequence contains 5.8S rRNA gene, ITS2". The stretch from base 1 to 71 matches the Rfam family "5.8S ribosomal RNA", at positions 84 to 154 of the family's 154-position model. Lineage: Eukaryota; Fungi. The record is from RNAcentral.
GUGAAUCAUCGAAUCUUUGAACGCAACUUGCGCUCUUGGGUAUUCCCAGGAGCAUGCCUGCUUGAGUGUCAUUACAACUCUCCUUUUUUAAAAUUUCCCUUUUUCUUUCGGGAAAAAAGGAUUUUUUUAAAAGAAAGGGCUCUGAGCUGAGACAGAUCCUGGCAUCUGUGCAGCUUCAAGGUUGUUGGUGAGGGAGCAAAAGGCAACUUUUGUUUUCUUCCUAUUACCACCUGAUGUGGCAACAUUUUCUCUCUCUCUUGGGAGAAAACGCAAAAAGCAUCUUGUGAGGGAAAGAAAAUU